AUCUGCAGCUAAGAACACUUUCAGGCAAAUACAGCUCUGCUGAUCAUCCCUAGAAGGACAACCAUAUUAUAGGACCAGCAGGUUUGUAUAUCCACUGUGCAGUAACAUACCAAUUACACUGAGACAGCAAGGUUUGCAACAGAGAAAGAGAUCCAUGAUCAUAGGGCACUGAGUGAGGAGAUGGGAGGAGACCCUCAAAUCCAUCUCCCCAAGGAAUUCUGGGCUGGGUUUUUUAAGGGGAUCAUGGAGGGUGAGGGACUAGAGAAUUGGAGCUGUUGAUUGAACAGGGAAAGGGGGAUGAAAUCAUCAGAAUGUGAAAACUGCAUUCUUUGGCAGUCAGAUUCUCAUGGGGUCCUUCAGACCGGCUGGCAUUAUAGUCUUAUUAGUAUGCAGGACCUGAAGGACUAUCUCAAAAGGAAAACUUAAUGUUUUUUAAUAUUCAGGUUGUUAUCUAUAGAGCAGUUAAGGGGAGCUAUAAACUUGUAACAGAGUCUAUGUGAUUGUGGGACAAUAGGUACCAAAAAAUAUGAGGAAGCAGGUCAGAGAGCAGGCUGACUUAAUGAUUAAUGCUGAAUAUGCUGCAAGCUUGGUUUAUUUUCAUUUAUCCUCCCGUUUUUCCUGAUUAAUUUUAUAAAGUUCAUAGGGGUGGUUUCAAACACAUGAGAAAUUACAACCUUUAUUAUCAGAGUCAGAGCCUGACUAUAUUGAUUGAAUGAAGCUUUCCUUAUAAAAUGCAAAGUAUGUAAACAAUUCCAACACAGUAACAUAUUCAUGAGUUUUUAAAUUCAUGAGUUUUAGAGAAGAGAAAAUAUUUUACUUAAAACUGGCACAUGAUGAUCUCUGACAAUAUUAUGUAGCCUGAACCUGGAGUUUUGGCUGAUGGAUUGUCUCAGCCUGUGGCAGAUUUUAGCUGGCUUUGGUUCAUUUUGUAUCACACCCCCACACUCACAUGCUCACACACUGUCUCACUUCAGACUGCCAUCACAAAAUGCGAUAGACUGGGCGGCUCAAAUAACAGAAAUUUAUUUCUCACAGAUCCAGAGGCUGGGAAGUCCAAGGUCAAGGUGCCAGCAGGCUCAGGUCCCCAGUGAGGGCUCUCUUCCUGUAUUCCAGGCGUCCACCUUGUUACCAUGUCCUAUGGCAGAGACAGAGUGAGAGAUGGAUGGGGAUUGAGAGAGAGAGAGAGUGUGCACAUUGCCCCGGUCUCUUCAUCUCCUUAGAACACCGAUCCCAUCACGGGAACCUGGUCCUCAUGACUUCAUCAAAACCUAAUUACUUCCCAAAGGUUCCCAUUUCCAAAAACAUCACAUUGGGGGUUACAGCUUUAACAUGAACUUUAGGGAGAUGGAAACAUUCAGUCCAUAACACACACCCUGUGAUAUACCCCCAUAAAAUAAAUACAUUGAGUGGCUGUUGGGUUUGUCUUCGGGUGGAAGGGUCUGGUCCUCUGAGCUUCCAGAUAGGGUUCUUGAAUGAUCCACACCACAUCUGCUUCAGUGUUGUCCAAGGAGCUGGUACAAAAGUACAGACUCUCAGGCCCCACCCUGGACAUUUCAAGUUAGGGUCUCUGGGGCUGGGGCCAGGAAUCUGCAUUUUGGACCAAUCCUUCUUUCCUCCACUUGCCUGCCCAGAAGAUUCUAGCAGCUCCCAAAGCUUGAGGACCACUGCUCUGUGCCUCUGCAUCCUCUGGAGAUUUUCCAAAACUGGUGUACCUUCUUAAAUCAGUUGUCUUUAUAAUGACUAUGACACAUAAAGCCAUGUGAUAUAACAAAGGCUGAGCAGGAUGCAGAAAGGGCUUUGUGACUAUAGCAGGCUUUGGAACAUGGAUUUAAUGAGCUACUACUUUGGAGGAAGGCACCUUGAUGAUCAUAUUUUAUAGACAAGGAAGAUAAAAUGCUGGAAAGUUAAGUGACUUCUCCAGGACCACACAACCAACACCUUCUUUGCUGAUGCACCGUGCUUUGUUGACUCCCUUGUCCUUGGAAGCCCUGGAUUCACGUCAUGAGGGAUGAAGUUAACCAUGGCUCUGGAAUUCCAUCUCUGGAUCGUGUGUCAUCUCAGAGCAUAUUAUCUUCAACAGAGUCUGGAACAUUUCCUUCAACAUGUGCCUGACACUUCUGUAAUACCUUCCUACCCCCUUUUUUUAAUUGUCUCCUGUAAAAAAGUAACCUGGGAAAACACAGUAUCCUUUGCAAGCUUGAGCAACUCCACCAUAUUGGCUCACUGCUGCACAAUAAACAACACAUUUCAAUGUCA
Macaca mulatta (Rhesus monkey) is the source of this 2256-nucleotide non-coding RNA. Lineage: Eukaryota; Metazoa; Chordata; Mammalia; Primates; Cercopithecidae. The record is from RefSeq and is a predicted model, not a curated record.